This 429-nucleotide ribosomal RNA is filed under the name Chloroflexota bacterium. Its description in RNAcentral is "Chloroflexi bacterium partial 16S ribosomal RNA". It matches the Rfam family "Bacterial small subunit ribosomal RNA", at positions 355 to 776 of the family's 1533-position model. The record is from RNAcentral. Lineage: Bacteria; Bacillati; Chloroflexota.
UGGGGAAUAUUGCACAAUGGGCGCAAGCCUGAUGCAGCCAUGCCGCGUGUAUGAAGAAGGCCUUCGGUUUGUAAAGCACUUUCAGCGGGGAGGAAGGCGGUGAGGUUAAUAACCUCACCGAUUGACGUUACCCGCAGAAGAAGCACCGGCUAACUCCGUGCCAGCAGCCGCGGUAAUACGGAGGGUGCAAGCGUUAAUCGGAAUUACUGGGCGUAAAGCGCACGCAGGCGGUUUGUUAAGUCAGAUGUGAAAUCCUCGGGCUCAACCUGGGAACUGCAUCUGAGACUGGCAAGCUUGAGUCUCGUAGAGGGGGGUAGAAUUCCAGGUGUAGCGGUGAAAUGCGUAGAGAUCUGGAGGAAUACCGGUGGCGACGGCGGCCCCCUGGACGGAAACUGACGCUCAGGUGCGAAAGCGUGGGGAGCAAACAGG